This 72-nucleotide transfer RNA is filed under the name Marmota monax (woodchuck). RNAcentral's name for it is "tRNA.Ala". It matches the Rfam family "tRNA". From Rfam's summary of the family: Transfer RNA (tRNA) molecules are approximately 80 nucleotides in length. Their secondary structure includes four short double-helical elements and three loops (D, anti-codon, and T loops). The record is from RNAcentral. Lineage: Eukaryota; Metazoa; Chordata; Mammalia; Rodentia; Sciuridae.
GAGGGUGUGACUUAGUGGUAGAGAACAUACUUAGCAUGUGGGAGGCCCUGGGUUCAAUUCCCAGCACCAAAA